Molecule: long non-coding RNA, 280 nt
Filed under: Lathyrus oleraceus (garden pea)
Lineage: Eukaryota; Viridiplantae; Streptophyta; Magnoliopsida; Fabales; Fabaceae
Description: Pisum sativum (pea) long non-coding RNA (PSAT_LNC015564)
Source: RNAcentral
UUUUUUCUCAAUCACAAUGCUUUGUACCACAGAUCUCUGAAUUAAUAAAAAAGGACACAUGAACCAUGAUUUUCUGCUGGUUGUGUUAUAUAUUUUCUAGACAUUAAUUUGGUGAUCUCUAUUUAGAUUAUUCACACUUUACAUUCCUGUAUUUUUUUCAGCAUCUAUACACUUUACAUUCCUGUAUAGUUUACCCUCCCCAUUGCUGACAUCUGUCGCCGUAGUGUAAGGAAGAAUGGCUUCGUGGAAUCACAUUUUUCCGCUGACCCGCCUCUUACUU